RNAcentral lists this unclassified non-coding RNA (465 nucleotides) under air metagenome. Its description in RNAcentral is "partial contains small subunit ribosomal RNA, internal transcribed spacer 1, and 5.8S ribosomal RNA". The record is from RNAcentral.
AAGUCGUAACAAGGUUUCCGUAGGUAGGUUUGCCUGCGGGGCCCGCGCCGCGACAGAAAACAACGGUGCCCAGUCGUCCCCGGACGGCGACGCCCUCAAUCUGUGCUGGGACUACCAGCUGCCUCCCCGGGCUCACAGAUCAGAUGAUGGCGGCCACGCCUGUGGUUGAGAUAUGACCGGCCUCCCCCCUUCCGGGGACGAGACCUGUGGAACCUGCGGAAGGAUCAUUACUGAGACAAAGAUCAUCAGGGGGAUGGUGUUGGAUGAUGCCUACCCCCUGAUGCGGGUGCCGGGGCUGCCCCGGCGUAAGACCCACGGCUCCCGCCAUCUUCACCCGUGACCGUCCAAUCUUGUCAUUGCUUUGGCGGGGUAACCCGCCAAAAGACCCCCACAAAUCGUUUGUUCAGUGUCGUCUGAGUCAUAUUGAAUACAAUAAAACUUUCAACAACGGAUCUCUUGGUUCUG